RNAcentral lists this ribosomal RNA (253 nucleotides) under uncultured bacterium. RNAcentral describes it as "partial 16S ribosomal RNA". It matches the Rfam family "Bacterial small subunit ribosomal RNA", at positions 524 to 776 of the family's 1533-position model. The record is from RNAcentral.
UACAGAGGUCUCAAGCGUUGUUCGGAUUCAUUGGGCGUAAAGGGUGCGUAGGCGGCGCGGUAAGUCGGGUGUGAAAUCUCGGAGCUUAACUCUGAAACUGCAUUCGAUACUGCCGUGCUUGAGGACUGGAGAGGAGACUGGAAUUUACGGUGUAGCGGUGAAAUGCGUAGAUAUCGUAAGGAAGACCAGUGGCGAAGGCGGGUCUCUGGACAGUUCCUGACGCUGAGACGCGAAAGCGUGGGGAGCGAACAGG